GAUGAACGCUGGCGGCGUGCCUAAUACAUGCCAGUCGAGCGAACAGACGAGGAGCUUGCUCCUCUGACGUUAGCGGCGGACGGGUGAGUAACACGUGGAUAACCUACCUAUAAGACUGGGAUAACUUCGGGAAACCGGAGCUAAUACCGGAUAACAUGUUGAACCGCAUGGUUCAACAGUGAAAGACGGUCUUGCUGUCACUUAUAGAUGUAUCCGCGCCGCAUUAGCUAGUUGGUAAGGUAACGGCUUACCAAGGCAACGAUGCGUAGCCGACCUGAGAGGGUGAUCGGCCACACUGGAACUGAGACACGGUCCAGACUCCUACGGGAGGCAGCAGUAGGGAAUCUUCCGCAAUGGGCGAAAGCCUGACGGAGCAACGCCGCGUGAGUGAAGAAGGUCUUCGGAUCGUAAAACUCUGUUAUUAGGGAAGAACAAAUGUGUAAGUAACUAUGCACGUCUUGACGGUACCUAAUCAGAAAGCCACGGCUAACUACGUG
RNAcentral lists this ribosomal RNA (497 nucleotides) under uncultured bacterium. RNAcentral's name for it is "partial 16S ribosomal RNA". It matches the Rfam family "Bacterial small subunit ribosomal RNA", at positions 28 to 507 of the family's 1533-position model. The record is from RNAcentral.